UCCAGGCAUGGUGGCGCAUGUCUGUAAUCUCAGCAGCUUGGGAGGCUGAGACAGGAUGAUUGUGAGUUCAAAGCCGGUCUCAGCAAUGUCAAGCGCUAAGCAACUCACUGAGACCCUGUCUCUA
Molecule: small RNA, 124 nt
Filed under: Marmota monax (woodchuck)
Lineage: Eukaryota; Metazoa; Chordata; Mammalia; Rodentia; Sciuridae
Source: RNAcentral